RNAcentral lists this ribosomal RNA (624 nucleotides) under uncultured bacterium. RNAcentral describes it as "bacterial SSU rRNA". It matches the Rfam family "Bacterial small subunit ribosomal RNA", at positions 62 to 667 of the family's 1533-position model. The record is from RNAcentral.
UCGUGCGAGAAGGAGACUUCGGUCUCUGAGUAGAGCGGCGCACGGGUGAGUAACGCGUGGAUGAUCUACCCUUGAGUUCGGGAUAACGGUGCGAAAGCGCCGCUAAUACCGUAUAACAAUCCAUUUCAUCGUGGGUUCAAAGCAGGCCUCUUCAUGAAAGCUUGCGCUUGGGGAUGAGUCCGCGUCCCAUUAGCUUGUUGGCGGGGUAACGGCCCACCAAGGCUACGAUGGGUAGCUGGUCUGAGAGGAUGAUCAGCCACACUGGAACUGAAACACGGUCCAGACUCCUACGGGAGGCAGCAGUGGGGAAUAUUGCGCAAUGGGGGAAACCCUGACGCAGCGACGUCGUGUGAGGGAAGAAGGCCUUCGGGUCGUAAACCUCUGUCAGAAGGGAAGAACAUCCGGGAGUCGAACAGCCUCCCGGCCUGACGGUACCUUCAGAGGAAGCGCCGGCUAACUCCGUGCCAGCAGCCGCGGUAAUACGGAGGGCGCAAGCGUUAAUCGGAAUCACUGGGCGUAAGGCGUGCGUAGGCUGUUUGAUAAGUCAGACGUGAAAUCCCUCGGCUCAACCGGGGAACUGCGUUUGAUACUGAGGAUCUUGAGUUCGGGAGAGGUGAGUGGAAC